This 56-nucleotide transfer RNA is filed under the name Parachtes ignavus. RNAcentral describes it as "tRNA-Ser". Lineage: Eukaryota; Metazoa; Arthropoda; Arachnida; Araneae; Dysderidae. The record is from RNAcentral.
UAGAUUUUAAUAAAGUAUUUUGAAAAUACUUAAUAAGGCAGGUUCCUUUGUAUUAA